RNAcentral lists this ribosomal RNA (435 nucleotides) under uncultured Glomus. RNAcentral's name for it is "SSU rRNA". It matches the Rfam family "Eukaryotic small subunit ribosomal RNA", at positions 569 to 1014 of the family's 1831-position model. Lineage: Eukaryota; Fungi; Glomeromycota; Glomeromycetes; Glomerales; Glomeraceae. The record is from RNAcentral.
AGCAGCCGCGGUAAUUCCAGCUCCAAUAGCGUAUAUUAAAGUUGUUGCAGUUAAAAAGCUCGUAGUUGAAUUUCGGGAUUAGUACGUUGGUCGUGCCUUGGUACGUACUGGUAUAACUGAUUCCUCCCUUCUGACGAACCGUUAUGCCAUUAAUUUGGUGUGGCGGGAAAUCAGGACUGUUACUUUGAAAAAUUAGAGUGUUUAAAGCAGGCUCGCGCUUGAAUACAUUAGCAUGGAAUAAUGAAAUAGGACGUUAAUCCUAUUUUGUUGGUUUCUAGGAUCGACGUAAUGAUUAAUAGGGAUAGUUGGGGGCAUUAGUAUUCAAUUGUCAGAGGUGAAAUUCUUGGAUUUAUUGAAGACUAACUACUGCGAAAGCAUUUGCCAAGGAUGUUUCAUUAAUCAAGAACGAAGUUAGGGAUCGAAGACGAUCAGAUA